Molecule: ribosomal RNA, 273 nt
Filed under: uncultured bacterium
Lineage: Bacteria
Description: partial 16S ribosomal RNA
Rfam family: Bacterial small subunit ribosomal RNA
Source: RNAcentral
UACGGAGGGGGCUAGCGUUGUUCGGAAUUACUGGGCGUAAAGGGCGCGUAGGCGGGCAUUCAAGUCGGGGGUGAAAUCCCGGGGCUCAACCCCGGAACGGCCUCCGAUACUGGGUGCCUGGAGGACGGAAGAGGCGAGUGGAAUGCCGAGUGUAGAGGUGAAAUUCGUAGAUAUUCGGCGGAACACCGGUGGCGAAGGCGGCUCGCUGGUCCGUUUCUGACGCUGAGGCGCGAAAGCGUGGGGAGCAAACAGGAUUAGAUACCCCCGUAGUCC